UACGUAGGGUGCAAGCGUUAAUCGGAAUUACUGGGCGUAAAGCGUGCGCAGGCGGUUUUGUAAGUCUGUCGUGAAAGCCCCGGGCUCAACCUGGGAAUUGCGAUGGAGACUGCAAGGCUUGAAUCUGGCAGAGGGGGGUAGAAUUCCACGUGUAGCAGUGAAAUGCGUAGAGAUGUGGAGGAACACCGAUGGCGAAGGCAGCCCCCUGGGUCAAAAUUGACGCUCAUGCACGAAAGCGUGGGGAGCAAACAGG
This 253-nucleotide ribosomal RNA is filed under the name uncultured bacterium. Its description in RNAcentral is "partial 16S ribosomal RNA". It matches the Rfam family "Bacterial small subunit ribosomal RNA", at positions 524 to 776 of the family's 1533-position model. The record is from RNAcentral.